RNAcentral lists this long non-coding RNA (561 nucleotides) under Gossypium barbadense (sea-island cotton). RNAcentral's name for it is "long non-coding RNA (GBAR_LNC000414)". Lineage: Eukaryota; Viridiplantae; Streptophyta; Magnoliopsida; Malvales; Malvaceae. The record is from RNAcentral.
AAAACUGGCUUUGGACACAGGUGCGAAGCAAGUCUAUGCAGAAAGAAUAGGAAAAAGCUCUAUACGAUACACGAGUAGUUGGUGGAAUACGAGUAAGGACUUUGUUUGCCCAAGUCCCUUGCUUGAAGGACUAUCGCACUUUUAGUGGUACUGAGACUGUCCCUACCACUACCUUUUAUCAAGCGGGUUUACAAGAGUUCUGGCUUUCCCAACUGGACAACUUCUGGGGAAUCUAAUUUCUUUCGCACCCCCUAUUAUAUGCGGUCCUAACUUUGCUACUCUUACUUCCACUAGAAAGAGAACUUCUGCUCGUAACAUACCUUCCCUUAUGAUAUGAUCUUACUUCUUGAAGCGAGCUACUUUAACUGCCAAAGGGGCGGAGCAACUCGAGUUAGACGAGAGGCGGGGAUGUUUAUUUCAAGCUGGAUGAAAGUGGACCACUGAUAGAAAGGUCUUAUAAAACGUUAUUUUUGAACUAAACCUUGCUAAUUAAGUGCUUUUAUGAUUUAAUCUUGUUAGGGAUGCAAUUAGUAAAAAAUAAGCUAAAAGGGCCAAUUUGAA